This 484-nucleotide ribosomal RNA is filed under the name uncultured bacterium. RNAcentral describes it as "partial 16S ribosomal RNA". It matches the Rfam family "Bacterial small subunit ribosomal RNA", at positions 28 to 523 of the family's 1533-position model. The record is from RNAcentral.
GACGAACGCUGGCGGCGUGCUUAACACAUGCAAGUCGAACGAUGAAGCUGGAGCUUGCUCCGGUGGAUUAGUGGCGAACGGGUGAGUAACACGUGAGCAAUCUGCCCUUGACUCUGGGAUAACUGCGGGAAACUGUAGCUAAUACCGGAUACUUUCACUGGAAGGCAUCUUCUGGUGAAGAAAGAAUUUCGGUCAAGGAUGAGCUCGCGGCCGAUCAGCUUGUAGGUGAGGUAACGGCUCACCAAGGCGACGACGGGUAGCCGGCCUGAGAGGGUGACCGGCCACACUGGGACUGAGACACGGCCCAGACUCCUACGGGAGGCAGCAGUGGGGAAUAUUGCACAAUGGGCGCAAGCCUGAUGCAGCAACGCCGCGUGAGGGAUGAAGGCCUUCGGGUUGUAAACCUCUUUUAGCAGGGAAGAAGCGAAAGUGACGGUACCUGCAGAAAAAGCACCGGCUAACUACGUGCCAGCCGCCGCGGUAA